CAGUAGCCGCGGUAAAACGAAGGGUGCAAGCGUUACUCGGAAUUACUGGGCGUAAAGCGUGCGUAGGUGGUGGUUUAAGUCCGUUGUGAAAGCCCUGGGCUCAACCUGGGGAUUGCAGUGGAUACUGGGUCACUAGAGUGUGGUAGAGGAUAGCGGAAUUUCCGGUGUAGCAGUGAAAUGCGUAGAGAUCGGAAGGAACAUCUGUGGCGAAGGCGACUAUCUGGGACAACACUGACGCUGAGGCACGAAAGCGUGGGGAGCAAACAGGAUUAGAUACCCCGGUAGUCCCUGUCUCUUAUAC
RNAcentral lists this ribosomal RNA (301 nucleotides) under uncultured bacterium. RNAcentral's name for it is "partial 16S ribosomal RNA". It matches the Rfam family "Bacterial small subunit ribosomal RNA", at positions 509 to 807 of the family's 1533-position model. The record is from RNAcentral.